This 443-nucleotide ribosomal RNA is filed under the name uncultured bacterium. RNAcentral describes it as "partial 16S ribosomal RNA". The record is from RNAcentral.
GACUACAGGGGUAUCUAAGCCCGUUUGCUACCCACGCUUUCGCGCCUCAGCGUCAGAUAUAAGCCAGGAUGCCGCCUUCGCCGCCGGUGUUCCUCCUGAUAUCAAUGCAUUUCACCGCUACACCAGGAAUUCCGCAUCCCCCUCCCAAUCUCAAGACCACCAGUUUGCGCGGCGGGACAGAGGUUGAGCCUCUGCAUUUCACCACACACUUAAUGGACCGCCUACGCGCGCUUUACGCCCAGUCAAUCCGAGCAACGCUCGCCCCCUACGUAUUACCGCGGCUGCUGGCACGUAGUUAGCCGGGGCUUAUUCGCGGGGUACCGUCAUUGUGUUCGCCCCCCGCAAAAGUGGUUUACAUACCGAAAUACUUCAUCCCACACGCGACGUCGCUGCAUCAGGGUUUCCCCCAUUGUGCAAGACUCCCCACUGCAGCCGCCCGUAGG